This 397-nucleotide ribosomal RNA is filed under the name uncultured bacterium. RNAcentral's name for it is "partial 16S ribosomal RNA". It matches the Rfam family "Bacterial small subunit ribosomal RNA", at positions 523 to 918 of the family's 1533-position model. The record is from RNAcentral.
AUACGUAGGGGGCGAGCGUUGUCCGGAAUGAUUGGGCGUAAAGGGCGCGUAGGCGGCCCGGUAAGUCUGGAGUGAAAGUCCUGUUUUUAAGAUGGGAAUUGCUUUGGAUACUGUCGGGCUUGAGUGCAGGAGAGGUAAGUGGAAUUCCCAGUGUAGCGGUGAAAUGCGUAGAGAUUGGGAGGAACACCAGUGGCGAAGGCGACUUUCUGGGAUGUAACUGACGCUGAGGCGCGAAAGUGUGGGGAGCAAACAGGAUUAGAUACCCUGGUAGUCCACACUGUAAACGAUGAAUGCUAGGUGUAGGGGGUAUCGACCCCUUCUGUGCCGCAGUCAACACAAUAAGCAUUCCGCCUGGGGAGUACGGCCGCAAGGUUGAAACUCAAAGGAAUUGACGGGG